Molecule: long non-coding RNA, 4682 nt
Filed under: Sus scrofa (pig)
Lineage: Eukaryota; Metazoa; Chordata; Mammalia; Artiodactyla; Suidae
Description: lncRNA (ENSSSCG00035033242.1, ENSSSCG00055022436.1, ENSSSCG00065030416.1)
Source: RNAcentral
GUUCCCAGGCUAGGGGUCGAAUCGGAGCUGCAGCUGCCACCCUACACCACAGCCACAGCAAUGCAGGAUCCAAGUCGCAUCUGCAACAUACACUACAGCUCAUGGCAGUGCCAGAUCCUUAACUCACUGAGCAAGGACAGGGUUUGAACCUGCAUCCUCAUGGAUACUAAUCAGAUUCACUUCUGUGGAGCCAUGAUGGGAACUCCCAGAGGGUCUUUUAAUAUAUUAAAAUCCUCAAGUUACCAAGUCACAAAGCUGGGAUGUGAAUAUAGUUCUGCCCAGACUCCAGAUCUUCCCUGUCCAUCACUCUGCUUCUCUGAAUAUCAUGUGGGAUUAUGGUGUUUUAGGAAAGGGUUUAUGUAUGUUAGUGCUUUUCACUGGCUUUCUAUUCUCUCGUAACAUUUGAGUGAUGGUUGAAAGAAACUAAAAUAAAUAAGCAAAAAUACUAAUGAGAUACCUCAGUACAAUUACCAGAUUCACCCCAAACUAAAAUGACUGACAAUACUAAAUGAUGGCAAGAAUGUGGAGUAACCAGAACUCUCACACAUUGCUUAUGGGAGUGGAAAUGGUGCAACUGCUUUAGAAGAAGGCCUGACAAUUUCUCUUAAAUCUAAACAUACACCUACCCUAUGACCUGGCAAUCCUAAUCCUAGGUAUUUUCCCAAGCUAAAUAAAAACUUUGUCCACAGAAAGACUUUACGAAUAAAGCUGCUAUGAAAAUUUUUAUAAUGGCCUCAAACUGGAAAAAAGCAUAGUUCUUUAUGAAUAGAGACUAAACAAACUGUAGUCAGAAUACUCUUUAGCAAUAAGAAGGAAUAAGCUACUGUUGUCUGUGAAAACGUGGAAAAAUCUCAAAUAUUUCACGCUGAGAGAAGUUUUAAUAAGAGUACAUAUGGUUUGAUUAUAUUAUAUGAUGUUCUGGGACAAUCAAAAUAAAUCUAUAGUGAUGGUUCUCUUCCCCAAACACAGUGACCUUUUUAUCAGGGAUGCUAAUAAAUGAUGGGCAAGAAUUUAAGGAGGCAUCUGCGUAUCAUGUAUAGACAACAGUGUCUCUCCUCAAGAGACCUUGGUUUCCCUAGGGAGCUUUGUGGAGGAUUAAAUGACUUAUGAUUUAUGUCCACCCUGUGGGCAGUUUCCUCUGCAACUUGAGUUAUCCAGUUAGAAAAGCCAAUAUGAAAUCUGCUCCAGCAUUAGCUGAAGUGAUUCAUGACACCACUUCAGCCCUGGAAGGAAGUCAGGCCAGCUUGAACUUGCUGGCUUGAGUUGUGCUGGAUGAUAAAAUUACCCUUGACUUCUUCCUUGUGGCCAAUGCAGAGUCUGUGUAGUCCCUAGUACAUCCUGCUGUACAUAGAUUAAUGCUUUGGGACAAGCAGAAAUGUCAAUACACAGACUUAAGGAAAGAGAAAGCUACCUGGAUAACUAAUAUAAACUCUUGUGGUUUAUCAGAAUUGUUCAGCUGAAUGGGUCUGGGACCCUGACCGGGGCAUGAUCAAAAUCAAUACUGCUUGAAGUUGUGUUGAGAGCAGUUUUAAUUAAAUGCUGUGUUACACACAUUGAAUGGAUUUUGUCCCAGCCACUAAGUAGUGACUGACAGAGAAGUAUACUAAUGGGACAGUUCAUCAGAAGCCAAUGUGGUGCAGAAAUGUGUGUAAGACAACUCUCCAUGUGUGUUUGGUAUUUCGGCAGGCUUCUUUGUUCCAGAAUAUCUUUUCAAGGAUGUAAUGCAGUGUGCUCACUGCCUAUUCUAAAAGGUUCAGGUUCCCUAAGGAUCUAGGAUCAAUCUUGAUACUAGUUGUUUAAAAUAAGGCAGAAUUCAGGGCAAUUCGUGAGGAAGUCAUCCUGCUCAAAUGGGAGUCAGCAACAUCUGGGCACUUUUUAGGCAGCUGUAUUUGAACCCACUUCUCCAUUUAUUUUUCUCCCUUAACAAGCAGUGCGUUGAAGGACUAUUUAUUUCCCCUAGGCCACACAAUUUGAUUAACAUAUUUACUACCAAUUCCCAUAAACUUCUCUCAUAUUUUGUGAAACGCCUUUAUCCUCCUCUUCCAAAAACCCAUGUGUUUAUGAUACCUGAACAUGCAGUAGCUUGCAUUUUUAGGAAAGAAUCCUGAAUUUAAGAUGCCUGAAUCUUUUAUAAUGGGAACAUUGCAUGCUUGCCUCCGCUUCAGGGGAAAACACUCUCUGUCUUCCGAGGCUAUCCAUGAUAUAAAAAUCCUCCAAGAUUGUCCAGAGUAAGGAAGAGUCCAUAGCUUGCAGUAUGUGCAUAAAUGUGAGAGACCCACAGAGAACUGUCUCCCAACAAGUCACAAUGCAUGGUUUCACAGUUCCAUGACCCGUCGACAUCAGUGACCUUCACCUCCACUUCAUUUCACCUCCCUCUCCUCACAACUUUCCACUUGACUUGGUCUCACCUGAAAGUUUUCUUGCCAUAGAAUACUAAAUCUCUUUAACAUCCAGCCCUGACCCAUAUCUUCCCACCUCUUUGUUCCUCACUGAGACCAAACAUUCUGGAAUUGUAUCAGGCUUUCUCUCCCUUCAAGUGCCUCUUAUUUUCUGAGUCCAUCUUUCCUUCCUGGUUUCACCCAUUUCCUUCUCAGCCGAAGCCCUGAGUUCCUUCUCACUAGAAGCCUCAAGGCCCUUGCCCCGAUUGCCUCUGUCAUACUUAUUUUGACACUUGACAGCUCUGGAUUAUCUACCACUUCCUUUCUGUAUCUGAUGGCAAGCAUCCAAACAAAUAUGGAGGAAAUUGACCUUGUUGACAAAAGCAUCAAGCAUGCUGAUUUCUAAUAUCAGCAGCUUCAGUCCAUCCUCCUGGUUUGACUUCUUACCUGUAAAAUAUUAUGGAGAGACAGUAAGCACCACAGCAAUGAAAACUGGACUAGGCCUCAGAUAAUGGACAUAAUAAAAUUCUUAUUAUAAUGCCAGCAAUAAAUAUGAAGCCCUUUUCUGUUGUACAUCUAGCUGGGAAAUGAACCAAAAGUAUUUUAAAUUUACUAAAGUGAAAACAAUUAAUCCUUUCUUGAAGGUAGAUGAAAAUACAGUCCCAAAUAACAUACCUGAUCUAUAUUGUGGUUAUUUUUAUGGAAUUUCUGUCUUAAGUUCAGGGAAGUAACUUUGCAAGGUGACUUGAAAAUUUUACUGUUUUUCAUUUUGUUAUUUUCCAUUAGACAGCUAAACACAUUUUAAGUUUCAAGAGCUUUUGCCAUUAAGGUGGGUGAAGAAAAUAUGACAGUGAAUACUCACAUGAUGGUUUUAGUUUAUGAUGCAUUUCAAGCUUUGCCUCUCUAACAGUUAAAUCCUUCAGCGUUCUUUUUGUGGGGGUGAAACACCAUAUAGUUUAGGAAACUAAACUUUUGUUUCAAAGAGAAGAGUGAAGUUUUAAGUCAAUUGAUAGAAGUAUAGAGUAUGGUGGAUUUUAGGAGGGAGAACUGAAAUCGACAAGGUAUAAGCAUUUUGAUCUUUAUACUCUGUCUUCUCUUCCUCAGGGCAGUUUGUACUCAACAUCAAAUGUAUUCAACAUCAAAUUUCUUAUUCAAAAUCAAAUAGAUGCUAUGUAGUGGACUCCUGAUAUUUACAUUCAGGAUAAUUAUUGGGCAGGAAGUCAAAAGGUAAUAAAACAGACAGUGUGUCAAACUGGAACAAUAAAAGAAAGGCACCAGCCAGAAUGAACAUAAGAAAACCUGUAUGAUUGAUGCACAGGAAUAGACCUGAAAUUUUGGUUGUGUUAGGGAGGUUUUAUUUAUUAGUAAGUUUUCUUAAAAUUUAGAAAGUUUUUUUUUUCUCCUGCAGAGCAAUGUUAAAAAUGGUAGAUUCAUAGUCUUGAAAUCAAAAACCAAUUUGUCUUGCUAUGAAUCUGAACCUUAGAAACUAUAAUACUCUCAAGUCAAUGAGUAAUCUUAAAAUAAUUAAGGGUGCUGCUUCCCAGAGUUGAGGAAGGUUUAAGACUUGAUUGCUGAGUUUGCAUUGUGGCUCAGUGGUAACAAACCUGACUAGUAUCUAUGAGGACACGGGUUUGAUCCCUGGCCUUGCUCAGUGGGUUAAGGAUCCAGCAUUGCCGUGAGCUGUGGUGUAGGUCACAGGUGUGGCUUGGACCCUGCAUUGCUGUAGCAUAGGCCAGCAGAUGCAGCUCUGAUUUGACCCAUAGCCUAAGAACUUCCAUAGGCCGCCAGUGUGGCCAUAAAAAGACAAAAAGAAAAAAGUUAGCUAUUCCUGGCUGCUCAGUUAAUUUAGGUGAGCUGCUUAAUCUCUGCGGGUAUUCUUGAAGUAAAGAAGGUGAAUUUGAUAAUCCUAUAUGUUUAUUUUUUUAAAGAUUUUUAUUUUAUCCAUUGUAGUUGAUUUACAGUAUUCUUUCAAUUUCUACUAUACAGCAAAAUGACCCUGUCAUACUUUAUAUAUAUUUUCUCCCAUUAUCCUCCAUCAUGUUCCAUCCCAAGUGACUAGAUAUAUUUUUUCUGUGCUAUACAGUGGGAUCUCAUUGCUUAUCCACUCCAGAUGCAAUAGUUUGUAUCUAUUAGCUCCAAACUCCCAGCCCAUCCACUCCCUCUCCUGAAAUAAGGCCAUUUGCAGCAACAUGGAUGGAACUAGAGACUUUGUACUAAGUGAAGUAAAUCAGAAAGACAAAUACCGUGUAUCACCUAUAUCUGGAAUCUAACAUAGGGCACAAAUGAACCUUUCCACAGAAAAGA